This 598-nucleotide long non-coding RNA is filed under the name Elaeis guineensis (African oil palm). RNAcentral describes it as "long non-coding RNA (EGUI_LNC003064)". The record is from RNAcentral. Lineage: Eukaryota; Viridiplantae; Streptophyta; Magnoliopsida; Arecales; Arecaceae.
ACCGAUACCCAUUCUUAAUAAGCAGGAGUUGUUGGGUGGUGACUAACCCCCAUCUUCUUUUAUAGAAGGGAUCCUUCAUCAUCUCAAAGUAGAGAUCCGCUCGCGAUCCUUCACGGUGUGGCAGCAUGAUCCUUCUCUCCAGUGAACAGCAGAUAUCUCGUGGCUGGGGGAGCUGGUUCUUCAAGCUGAACUAUCGCCAAUCAUGCAAACUUCGGCUUGGCAUGGGAGGUGUUGGAAAUUCUCCACCGCACCAGGGGAGGAUUUGGAUCCACGGUCAUUGGGAAUGUUUUCCUGCAGCACUCGAAGGGGAGGUCUUCGACUUUUUAGUGAGUCCCUCCUUCCUCUUUGGUGGGAUGGCUUCUUCCAUAAUCUUUGGUGGGGCAUCUGGUCAGUAGACAUAUCCCUUCGGAUCUUUCUGUCUGUGUACCUGAGAGAUACAUGCUCCUGAGAGGGAUGGCCACCUGGCCAUUGAAGUGGAGCCUGAGGGGGUUGCGACCUUUGCUGACGGGAGGAUUCCCGCAUGGGGAGAAUUAGUGGUCUAUUGGUGUGGCUUGGAUUACUGCAUGGGGAUCCUCAGUGGCCUACUGGUGCAGCUUGG